AUUGAACGCUGGCGGCAUGCCUUACACAUGCAAGUCGAACGGCAGCGGACCUUCGGGUGCCGGCGAGUGGCGAACGGGUGAGUAAUGCAUCGGAACGUGCCAUUGAGUGGGGGAUAACGUAGCGGAAGUUACGCUAAUACCGCAUAUUCUGUGAGCAGGAAAGCAGGGGACCGCAAGGCCUUGCGCUCUUUGAGCGGCCGAUGUCAGAUUAGCUAGUUGGUGAGGUAAAGGCUUACCAAGGCGACGAUCUGUAGCGGGUCUGAGAGGAUGAUCCGCCACACUGGAACUGAGACACGGUCCAGACUCCUACGGGAGGCAGCAGUGGGGAAUUUUGGACAAUGGGCGCAAGCCUGAUCCAGCCAUGCCGCGUGAGUGAAGAAGGCCUCGGUUGUAAG
This 395-nucleotide ribosomal RNA is filed under the name uncultured bacterium. RNAcentral describes it as "bacterial SSU rRNA". It matches the Rfam family "Bacterial small subunit ribosomal RNA", at positions 30 to 429 of the family's 1533-position model. The record is from RNAcentral.